Molecule: ribosomal RNA, 171 nt
Filed under: uncultured bacterium
Lineage: Bacteria
Description: partial 16S ribosomal RNA
Rfam family: Bacterial small subunit ribosomal RNA
Source: RNAcentral
CCUACGGGAGGCAGCAGUAGGGAAUAUUGCGCAAUGGGCGAAAGCCUGACGCAGCGACGCCGCGUGUGGGAUGAAGGUCUUCGGAUCGUAAACCACUGUCGGGAGGGACGAAGCUCUGACGGUACCUCCAAAGGAAGCACCGGCUAACUCUGUGCCAGCAGCCGCGGUAAU